RNAcentral lists this ribosomal RNA (468 nucleotides) under uncultured bacterium. RNAcentral describes it as "partial 16S ribosomal RNA". It matches the Rfam family "Bacterial small subunit ribosomal RNA", at positions 28 to 507 of the family's 1533-position model. The record is from RNAcentral.
GACGAACGCUGGCGGCGUGCUUAACACAUGCAAGUCGAACGGAAAGGCCCUGCUUUUGUGGGGUGCUCGAGUGGCGAACGGGUGAGUAACACGUGAGUAACCUGCCCUUGACUUUCGGAUAACUUCAGGAAACUGGGGCUAUUACCGGAUAGGAGCUCCUGAUGCACGGUGGGGGUUGGAAAGUGUCGGCGGUGGGGGAUGGACUCGCGGCUUCUCAGCUUGUUGGUGUGGUAGUGGCUGACCAAGGCUUUGACGGGUAGCCGGCCUGGGAGGGUGACCGGCGACAUGGGGACUGCGAUACGGACCAGACUCCUACGGGCGGCAGCAGUGGGGAGUAUUGCACAAUGGGCGGACGCCUGAGGCAGCAGCGCCGCGUGCGGGAUGACGGCCUUCGGGUUGUAAACCGCUUUCGCCUGUGACGAAGCGUGAGUGACGGUAAUGAGUAAAGAAGCACCGGCUAACUACGUG